Molecule: long non-coding RNA, 508 nt
Organism: Pundamilia nyererei
Lineage: Eukaryota; Metazoa; Chordata; Actinopteri; Cichliformes; Cichlidae
Exons: 2
Source: RefSeq, a predicted model, not a curated record
CAGGGGCUGUUGCGGUUUCUCUGUAUUAUUGUAGGUGUUUGGGGCGACUACUGAUAUGAAUGAAGCUGAAUUGAACUGAAACCUAAUUGGGCGAUCACCUCGUCAAACAGGUGUGCUUUGCUUUAAAUGCGACAGGAAGUGGAACUGAUAACGUACCUGUGUGUUUCCAGGUGAGUUGUGGUUGGACAGAGGGAACCCUCGCACUGACAGCAAUGCUUCACUGGCUCAGGACAGUGAGGCCCCGCCCAGCAGCCCAGGUGACAUCAGAGAGCAGUCCUCCCUUGUGUCCAGUUGGAGGUCUCAGUUUUGUUUGCUGAUGUAAGCUCUCCUGAUUGGACAGUCGGUAAUCGGAGAGGACCUGUCAGCGUCACUGAAGUCCUUAGAGCUUCAGUCAGCUAAUGCUGCAGCGUUGCCGUGGCUCAGACCAAGAAUCAGAGCUGAGCCAUCACAUUGUGCUGCUCACUCUGACAACAGAAAACCUAAAAAGAAAUAAAAACACACAACCAGC